Drosophila persimilis is the source of this 199-nucleotide non-coding RNA. The record is from Rfam. NCBI's taxonomy places the organism in Eukaryota, Metazoa, Arthropoda, Insecta, Diptera, Drosophilidae.
ACUUAGCCUAUACACUAUGUUGGAGAGAAGACGCUUGCUACCUAGGCAAAAUGUGAAAUUAGGUAUAAACAUCGUGGUUGUAAAACUUGAGGUGGGUUUUUAGUACGUAUGCGUGAUUACUUCGUAAUCAUGAAUCGUGCAUGCUAGUGGGGUUUGGCCUCCACUAGUAUCUUUGAAGAUUUUCCUUUCCUCAGCGAUC